GCAAGCUGUGGUAGCGUCCGUUGAAACGUCUGGGCUGCCGACUGUCUUGGGGUCAUUCCAUGGUCCAGAGGUGCAACGCCGUCAGCUUGAACAAGUACUGCGGCAGUUUGACGAAAUCUUCACGGAAAAACCGGGCAAGUCGUCUGUGUUACAGCAUAGCGUAGACACCGUUAACGCUAGGCCCGAGACCAUUGAGUGUGCAUAAGCGUGCUUUGUUAGACGCUGCUCUUGACGAAAUGCUCCAAACCGGUGCAGUUCAAAGGUCUCAGACGCCUUGGGCAUUUCCUGUUGUUCUGGCUCGACACGUGAUGGUACGGCUAGGCCAUGCGUCGACUAGCAUUCCCCACUUGUAUUCCCUGGACAACGCAACUGUGUUUUCAACGCUUGAUUGUAGUAGAGGAUUUUCGCAAACCUAAGUUGCCCCGGAGGAAGUCCCAAAAACAGCCUUCACGUGUCAUAGAGAAAGACUUGGAACACCUGUCAAUCGUCCUUGCAAGGAUGAAUGAAGCGGGCAUAACGAUCAACCCCCUGCAAGGUGCAGCUGGCAUCGUCUAGGAUCAGCCUUCUCGGCUUUGUGGUGGACGGAGUAACCAUCCAUCCUCACAACGACAAGCUAAAGGCGAUCACGGAGUUUCCGGUUCCCGGUAACGUCAAAGCCUUGCAGCGCUUCCUAGGUAUGGUUGGUUUUUACAGACAAUUCAUUCCUAAUUGUGUCCAGCUAGCGCAGCCGCUUAACCAGUUGUUGCGCAAGGACACACGCUGGAAUUGGAGAAAAGAGCAGGAACGAUCAUUUCGAGCUCUACCACAAGAAAUCGCUGAUGCGGCUAGGCUUUAUCUGCCAGACCUUAACAAACCAUUUGUUGUGCGAACAGAUGCAAGCGAUUAUGGUGUUGGCGCAGUUCUAUUGCAGGAGCAUGACGCUGCUCUUUGUCCUGUAGCUUUUGCAAGUCGCACGCUAAAUCCGGUAGAACAGAACUACUCCGUCACGGAAAAGGAGUGCUUGGCGAUCAUCUUCGCUUUCAGGAAACUCGACUUCUACCUGCACGAGAGUACCUUCACUGUCCAGACUGAACACCAGCGGCUCCAUUGCCCGUCUGGGUGACUUGUCAGGUGGGCACUGACGCUACAAGGCAACUCCUUCAACGUGGAGUACAGGCAGGGCUCGACGAACGUGGUAGCAGACGCGCUGUCCCGCGCACCUCUUCCGGAGGGGGAAGAGGAAGCACCGAGGCGCCUUGUCAAUUUCUGGCAGCAGCACAAGUGGCACGAGAUGUACCUUCGUCUUGGGGCACGGUCGUGAGCAGAGAACAGCUCCUAGAGGCUCAGAGAGCGGACGGCCUUUGUCAGCGGGUGCAGCAGUGCAUAGCUGAGCAAGACUCGGCGGACACCGGUACGACUGACGGACGGCACGACUCCUAUCUGCUGGGCGAGGAUGGCAUCCUGUUCAGAUACAUACCCCAGGCGCACGAGGACGACGGCUCAUCCCCGUUCAGAGUCGUGGUGCCACGGAAGUUGCCUUGACCUAUGAAACUACACCUAUGAACACUACAGCCACACUGCACGGUUUCGCACUGCUACAAGACGACUACUUCAGAAAGAGUGAUGUCAUGAUUGGUUCCAAUUGUACACGAACAGCCAGAUGGAAACCAUUGCUGCAGCAUCCUAGCCUGAAGAACAAACAACUGAGCAACAAGAGACAAGUUUGGAACCUGCACAGACCUCACAGAGAAAUUAGCGCAAAAACCAGACUGCGAUGAUGCAGGUCCUAGAGCUCUAAACAGCUGUGAAAUGAGAGCUACAAAAGCAGAAAAAAGGAACGAAGGUUUCAAAGAAAAGUACUGAGGCUGCAGGAAGGAGUUAACAGAAUGCAACAAGAAAUGCUUCCAUAAGCAAAUUAAAAUGGUGCAAGCAAGAUGGUGUACUGUGGAAAGACCUAACAUUUCCUUCAGUUUGAGGAACACACAGUUCAUAUUGUAUGUUCCUCAAACUCGAGGAAAUGUUUCCUCCUUCAAAGAAAUGUUUAAUUCGAUGCAGACUUAUUUUUAAUCAUCGCCACCACAAUAAUUUUCUUUUUUCCAUAACAGAGAAAGCUGGCAUAGUUUGUUUUUUUAGCUUUAUAACAGUGCAUUGUCCUUGCAAAACCUCAUUAAAGGGGCCGUAAACAGGCCACCAAACAUUUCUGAAAUAAUGAUACCCCAUGAAAGAACACAGCUCAUAAUACCCAAAUAUACAUUUCGUUCGGCUCGUGCCAGCUCAUUGACCCGUAUAACUGCUUUCAAAGAUGAGUAACUAGCGAGCCUCUCUCCACAACGCAUACGUCACAUGGCUACGUAGCGUUUUGCCGUCCAAUCGGGGGCCCGAGCUGCGCACAUAACGUUUCAAAUUACCAGCCGAUAAACAUACUUCGUUAUCAGCUGUGAGUCGGAGCGCUCAGUUUGUUUGUGUGAAAUGACGUUAUGCGUUCCGUGGUUCCGAAAUUCAACGUCAUGACAUCUUCAACAUCUCCGGCUGGCGCAAACGUCAACAGCUGGGCUGCUAUCACAUGACGCGAUUCGAACCCGGGUUCCUCCCAGUCACGACGUGACAUGGCCAGCACGCUAUCCACUGUACCACGCGAGCUGGUGACGCGAUGCCGCGUGGCUCAAACCAAAGUACUGCAGCCCAGUUGUCGGAACCAUUCGAAGAUGACGAAGAUGUUCCAUAGCGCACCUACCUAAGAUUCCGGAACUGUAGUCCCGGAUAUUCAUUCGCGCUCGUGGUGUGCUGCGUGCUACUGCCCAGAAAACGUAGUGCGCGUAUGAUACCUAAAUUAAACACAUUUCUUUCUCAGUUUGAGGCUCUAACUGUUUAGACUUUGAAUAGAAGAGGAUUCACGUUCAUCUAGUCCAAUUCCGCAUUUGAAAUAAAAUCGUACGUGGAACACUCAAUCAUAAUUGGUGGGGAAAGCGCUACGUCAAAAUGACGUAAAGUUAGAGCGUGGGGCGGAGCUAAAAUGCGAAAGAGUGCAGUGAAUAUUUCAUCCGUAUGCAAGCGCCUUUUGUUUUUGAGCGUUAGUAAUUGCAAGGAGUUUUCACGGCCUAAGCUCCAAUAAUAUAACACAAAAAAUGUGCACCUUUUGUACCUGUUUACGGCCCCUUUAAGUGUAUAUGUGUAAUGUAUUAUGUCAGCGAUUCUCGCUUUUGUUACUUAAGCUGAAAAACGGUCAUUGCAUGAAAAAAAAAAAACUUACAACAACAAAACAUAGGCGUAUUACUGUAGUUAUAAAAUGUACAUAUAAGGAAACAUGACAGUAAAAUUAUUCACUUUAGAGGAAUGUACUUGCCCGCAAUAAAUAUGCUGUCAUAGUGUUGUAAAAUGUUGUUUGAUUGAUUGAGAUUUUAAAAAAAUAUGGCGGUGUUCCGGUCAGCUACUGCAGAACUCGUGAAUAGAAAACAGUAGAAAAAUCAACCUCAAGAUG
Long non-coding RNA from Ornithodoros turicata, 3457 nucleotides. RefSeq lists it as uncharacterized. The transcript is spliced from 4 exons. The record is from RefSeq and is a predicted model, not a curated record. Lineage: Eukaryota; Metazoa; Arthropoda; Arachnida; Ixodida; Argasidae.